UAUUAAUUGUUGCCAGCCGCCGCGGUAAAACGUAGGGUGCAAGCGUUGUCCGGAAUUACUGGGUGUAAAGGGAGCGCAGGCGGACCGGCAAGUUGGAAGUGAAAACUAUGGGCUCAACCCAUAAAUUGCUUUCAAAACUGCUGGCCUUGAGUAGUGCAGAGGUAGGUGGAAUUCCCGGUGUAGCGGUGGAAUGCGUAGAUAUCGGGAGGAACACCAGUGGCGAAGGCGACCUACUGGGCACCAACUGACGCUGAGGCUCGAAAGCAUGGGUAGCAAACAGG
Molecule: ribosomal RNA, 281 nt
Filed under: Gemmiger formicilis
Lineage: Bacteria; Bacillati; Bacillota; Clostridia; Eubacteriales; Oscillospiraceae
Description: partial 16S ribosomal RNA
Rfam family: Bacterial small subunit ribosomal RNA
Source: RNAcentral